Molecule: ribosomal RNA, 1480 nt
Filed under: uncultured Bordetella sp.
Lineage: Bacteria; Pseudomonadati; Pseudomonadota; Betaproteobacteria; Burkholderiales; Alcaligenaceae
Description: partial 16S-23S ribosomal RNA intergenic spacer
Rfam family: Bacterial small subunit ribosomal RNA
Source: RNAcentral
GGGAGCACCAGUAACAGAGGUUCGACUCUGGCUCAGAUUGAACGCUGGCGGGAUGCUUACACAUGCAAGUCGAACGGCAGCAAUGGACUUCGGUCUGGUGGCGAGUGGCGAACGGGUGAGUAAUGUAUCGGAACGUGCCUAGUAGCGGGGAUAACUACGCGAAAGCGUAGCUAAUACCGCAUACGCCCCCGGGGGAAAGUGGGGACCUUCGGGCUCCCUGCACUAUUAGAGCGGCCACAAUGGAUUGGCCAGUUGCGGGGUAACGGCUCACCAAGGCGACGAUCCGUAGCUGGUUUGAGAGGACGACCAGCUACACUGGGACCGAGACACGGCCCAGACUCCUACGGGAGGCAGUGGGAAUUUUUGACAAUGGGGAAACCCUGAUCCAGCUAUCCGGGUGCAGGCGAUGAAGGCCUUUGGGUUGUAAAGCACUUUUUGGCAGGAAAGAAACGGCACGGGAUAAUACCCCGUGCAACUGACGGUACCUGCAGAAUAAGCACUGGCCAACUACAGCCAGCAGCCGCGGUAAUAAUGUAGUGCGUUAAUCGGAAUUACUGGGCGUAAAAGCGUGCGCAGGCGGUUCGCACAGAUGAGAAUCCCAGAGCUUAACUUUGAACUGCAUUUUUAACUACUGAGCUAGAGUGUGUCAGAGGGAGGUGGAAUUCCGCGUGUAGCAGUGGAAAUGCGUAGGAUAUGCGGAGGAACACUGAUGGCGAAGGCAGCCUCCCGAUAACACUGACGCUCAUGCACGAAAAGCGUGGGGAGCAACAGGAUUAGAUACUCCUGGUAGUCCACGCUCCAAACGAUGUCAACUAGCUGCUGGGGCCUUUCGGCCUGUAGCGCAGCUUAACGCGUGAAGUUGACCGCCUGGGGAGUACGGUCGCAAGAUUAAAACUCAAAGGAAUUCGACGGGGACCCGCACAAGCGGUGGAUGAUGUGGAUUAAUUCGAUGCAACGCGAAAACCUUACCUACCCUUGACAUGUUCGGAACUCGAAGAGAUUUGGGAGAGUGCCUAUAAACUGAACACAGGUGCUGCAUGGUAUCGUCAGCUCGUGUCGUGAGAUGUUGGCUAAGUCCCGCAACGAGCAAACCCUUGUCAUUAGUUGCUACGAAAGGGCACUCUAUCGAUCGCUGGUGACAAACCGGAGGAAGGUGGGGAUGACGUCAAGUCCUCAUGGCCUCUUAUGGGUAGGGGCUUCUACACGUCAUACAAUGGUCGGGACAGAGGGUCGCCAACCCGCGAGGGGGAGCUAAUCCCAGAAACCUGAUCGUAGUCCGGAUCGCAGUCUGCAACUCGGACUGCGUGUCGGAAUCGCUAGUAAUCGCGGAUCAGCAUGUCGCGUGAACACGCUCCCGGGGUCUUGCAUACACCAGCCCGUCACACUACGGGAGUGGGUUUUACCAGAGUAGUUAGCCUAACUGUAAGGAGGGCGAUUACCACGGUAGGAUCUGCGACUGGGGGUGAAGUCGCAACAAGGU